Molecule: ribosomal RNA, 484 nt
Filed under: uncultured bacterium
Lineage: Bacteria
Description: partial 16S ribosomal RNA
Rfam family: Bacterial small subunit ribosomal RNA
Source: RNAcentral
AUUGAACGCUGGCGGCAGGCCUAACACAUGCAAGUCGAGCGGAUGAAGGGAGCUUGCUCCUGGAUUCAGCGGCGGACGGGUGAGUAAUGCCUAGGAAUCUGCAUGGUAGUGGGGGAUAACGUCCGGAAACGGGCGCUAAUACCGCAUACGGCCUGAGGGAGAAAGGGGGGGAUCUUCGGACCUCACGCUAUCAGAUGAGCCUAGGUCGGAUUAGCUAGUUGGUGGGGUAAAGGCCUACCAAGGCGACGAUCCGUAACUGGUCUGAGAGGAUGAUCAGUCACACUGGAACUGAGACACGGUCCAGACUCCUACGGGAGGCAGCAGUGGUGAAUAUUGGACAAUGGGCGAAAGCCUGAUCCAGCCAUGCCGCGUGUGUGAAGAAGGUCUUCGGAUUUUAAAGCACUUUAAGUUGGGAGGAAGGGCAGUAAGUUAAUACCUUGCUGUUUUGACGUUACCAACAGAAUAAGCACCGGCUAACUUCGUG